Molecule: RNA transcript, 2755 nt
Organism: Carya illinoinensis
Lineage: Eukaryota; Viridiplantae; Streptophyta; Magnoliopsida; Fagales; Juglandaceae
Gene name: phospholipid:diacylglycerol acyltransferase 1-like
Exons: 7
Source: RefSeq, a predicted model, not a curated record
GCCCACAUCAUACCCCGAAAGGAUGGAAGUUCCAGCCUCCCCAUAUGACCGAAAGAAGAGAGUCGACCAACUAACACUUGCACGCCAAUCUCCUGCCUCCACCUCUUUUCCGCCCGGAGACUUCUCUCUCCGGUCACCGACGGUUAUUCAGUUACGGUAACUAUAUUUUACUCCUCUGCUAAUAGUCACUACUCAAAUUUUGAGGACUAGGGUUCUGUUUCUGAUCAGACACUUCGUGGAGCUCCACAUCAGUUCAGAGUCCAUUAAUGACCAAGCCAAAGCUCCCAGCGUAUUGAAAAAGGAGCUCCUACUUUUGAUUUUGAAACGGAAGCCAUGUCGUUUCCGAGGCGCAGAAAGGCCCCAAAUACUCAAAAGUCUGAGCCUCACGAAAUUGACGGAGAAAACGAGGAUGACAAGAAGAGGAACCCGAAGACGAAUCUCAGAAAGGACAAGAGAUGGUCUUGCAUGGACAGCUGUUGCUGGUUCAUUGGGUGCAUAUGUUCGAUUUGGUGGUUCUUUCUGUUCUUGUACAACGCAAUGCCAGCGUCGUUUCCCCAGUACGUGACGGAGGCGAUAACGGGGCCGUUACCGGACCAUCCCGGCGUGAAGUUGCUAAAAGAGGGCUUGAAGGUGAAGCACCCGGUGGUGUUCGUCCCUGGAAUCGUUACCGGCGGGCUUGAGUUGUGGGAGGGGCACCAGUGCGCUGAGGGCUUGUUUAGGAAGAGGCUUUGGGGUGGGUCAUUCGGGGAAUUGUACAAAAGACCAUUAUGCUGGGUUGAGCACAUAUCACUGGAUAAUGAAACUGGACUGGACCCAUCUGGAAUCAGGCUCAGACCUGUAUCUGGACUUGUCGCAGCUGAUUACUUUGCAGCUGGUUAUUUUGUCUGGGCUGUCUUAAUUGCCAAUUUGGCUCGCAUUGGAUAUGAGGAGAAAACAAUGUAUAUGGCUGCAUAUGACUGGAGAUUAUCAUUUCAAAACACUGAGGUCAGAGACCAAACUCUAAGCAGGAUAAAAAGUAAUAUAGAACUCAUGGUAGCUACAAAUGGUGGAAAAAAGGUGGUUGUUAUACCACAUUCAAUGGGUGUUCUGUACUUUCUGCAUUUCAUGAAAUGGGUUGAGGCACCAGCUCCAAUGGGUGGUGGUGGCGGGUUGGAUUGGUGCACGAAGCAUAUAAAAGCAGUAAUGAACAUUGGUGCACCCUUUCUAGGUGUUCCAAAAGCAGUUGCAGGACUUUUCUCUAUGGAAGCCAAGGAUGUUGCUAUUGCCAGGGCUUUCGCGCCGGGUGUUUUGGAUAAGGAUGUUUUUGGUCUUCAAACUUUUCAACAUAUGAUGCGGAUGACCCGCACGUGGGAUUCAACCAUGUCAAUGAUACCAAAAGGCGGGGAUACUAUUUGGGGUGGUCUUGAUUGGUCACCUGAAGGGGACUUUGACUGUAGUGCAAAGAAGCUCAAGAAUAAUGAUACCCAAACUGCAGACCAAAGUGGGAAGGGGACUCUGGGUACUACAAAAAGAGUAAAUUAUGGGAGGAUCAUAUCAUUUGGGAAAGAUGUAUCUGACAUACAUUCCUUUGAGAUUAAAAGAGUGGAUUUCCAGCAGGGUGCUGUCAAGGGUAAUAACCUUAUAAAUACAACCAAGUGUGAUGCAUGGACAGAGUACCAGGAAAUGGGUAUCGAGGGUGUCAAAGCUGUUGCAGAUUACAAAGUUUACACAGCUGGAUCGAUUUUGGAUCUGCUUCAUUAUGUUGCCCCCAAGUUAAUGGCGCGUGGUGAUGCUCAUUUUUCACAUGGAAUUGCAGACAAUUUGGAUGACCCUAAAUAUGAACAUCACAAAUAUUGGUCAAACCCGUUAGAAACAAAAUUACCAAAUGCUCCAGACAUGGAAAUCUAUACUAUGUAUGGUGUUGGAGUCCCCACAGAAAGAGCAUAUGUGUACAAAUUAACUCCUGCUGCAGAAUGCUACAUUCCCUUUCAGAUAGAUGCGUCAGCAGAGGGUGGAAGUGAGAAUCCUUGUCUAAAAGGUGGGGUGUUUUCUGUUGAUGGGGAUGAAACCGUUCCCAUUUUAAGUGCAGGUUUUAUGUGUGCAAAAGGUUGGCGGGGAACAACUCGUUUCAAUCCUUCAGGCAUUCGUACUUACAUAAGGGAGUAUGAUCAUGCCCCUCCAGCUAAUCUUCUAGAGGGCCGUGGCACCCAAAGUGGUGCUCAUGUUGAUAUAAUGGGUAAUUUUGCAUUGAUUGAAGAUGUUAUAAGAGUUGCAGCAGGGGCUACUGGAGAGGACUUAGGUGGGGAUCGAGUUUACUCUGACAUUUACAAAUGGUCCGAAAAGAUCAAACUACAACUCUAGAUUCACAUGGUUGGUAUCUGAAGCUUAUUGAUAAAAUUUCCUUCAAUGUUUAAACUUAAAGCAAUAUGUUGUUGGAAAAACUUUAAUUGAUGCUCAACCUUUGGAGAUCAACUAGAGCCAGCAAUCAUGCUUGACUAGCAUUGUUGCUUUCAUGCGUAAAGGCACCCCCGGUGAAACUAUCACCCAGCAAUGGUGGCGGUGGUGAUUCCAGAGUGCAGUGUUAUACUCAAAAUUGAAGCCCAAGGGGUGAAGUGCUGGUUGCUAAAGCAACUGCGUUCAGAUUUAUGCAGUAUUUGUGGCCUUUAUGUAUUACAUGGGGCUUAAUAGGUGCCUUACAAAUUUUGAAUAUACAUUUAAUUCAGUUGACUAUUGACAACAAAACUUCUAACCAAUUAGUCUAUGUGUUUCAUUGCAA